Molecule: small RNA, 146 nt
Filed under: Marmota monax (woodchuck)
Lineage: Eukaryota; Metazoa; Chordata; Mammalia; Rodentia; Sciuridae
Source: RNAcentral
AGGGAAAGAAGAGUGAGUGCUUGAUGGUUUAUCAACUCAGGUGGAAGGGAAAUUAGCAUUUCCAACAGUGAGUGAAGGAAAUUGACUAUAUGCCAGGAAACUACUAUGUGUGUGUGUGUGUGUGUGUGUGUACAAUAGUCACCCUU